UUAACCCACACCGAUUGCCAAUUUUCCUUUAUUGAAGAUGUUUUUCACACAACGCACUCUCCAGCAGAAGCAGCAGCAGCACCAGCACCAGCACUUCCUGUCGCCUCCAUCUCUGCUCUCAUUUCCGUUUCGAACCGCCGCUGACAGCUUAAUGGCCAGGCCGUCCCUCUACCGACUGCUCAAACAUUUAACACACAAAAAUGUGAAUAUAAAAACGAGAAAAAUGAAAGGAAAAU
Molecule: long non-coding RNA, 236 nt
Filed under: Drosophila guanche
Lineage: Eukaryota; Metazoa; Arthropoda; Insecta; Diptera; Drosophilidae
Source: RNAcentral